CUUGUAUCUUCUUUAUUUAAUGCAAUAUGUGGCACUGAAGGCAUAAUUUUUGCAUCCACCAGUUCUUAUUUGUUUAGUAUAAGUUGGUGCUCGAAAACUUGAAACAUGAUUGAGGAGCAACGAUAAUGAAUAUCUAUUCGCUACAAGUUGAAAGGCAAAAUGGAAUACAGAUGGCUGAAAGCGACAGCCAAGCUUUGGACAUUCUCCUCUCGACAUAAACUGGCUUUCUUAGUUCUAGGUCUGUAAUAAAAACCGAUAUUCUACAAGUAAAGAUAUAGCCCUUCCCAUAUAAAGAGAAUGUGGAAUUGGGGCUUCUUUUUUUUUUUAAGAUGCAUUCUUAAGGAGGUAUCCCAGGCCUUUACACAUUUUGCUCAGUCCAGACUAACAGCUACCUCCUACUACAUCGUAUCUCACAAAUCCCAUCAGUUCUGGGCCUUCCAGUCUAGGGUUAUUUCCAAAACUGCAUCCAAACAAACAAGAAUCAUAACCCACAAAUGAAAGCCAGUUAAAAGAUGGUAUCAAGAAAGAAAAUUGAAGCUUUUUUAGUACUGAUGGAUCGAUGUUUAGAUGCCAAAUUCUGGCUAAUUAGUCACCUUUCCUCUAAGAACUUAGAGAAGGAGCCAGAAGUAGGGAUUGUGCCACACAAAUCAUUGUCCGAUACGUCACUGCAAAAACAGAUCGAUGAAUUACAAAAAAUAAGAGCAAAGAAUUUCGUAGAAACAAGGUAAUUUGAGGAUUUAUAAGAUGACUUACAGAAUCUUGAGGUUUCCCAGUUUGGUUAGUUCCCUUGGUAUCCUUCCGGUUAGUCUGUUAUCGUUCAGUCUCCUGCAUGAACAUUACGUGACCCAUCAGGCAAAAACAGACCCAAAGUAUACGUUUAAAGACGUGAACGAACUGACAAUAGUGUCCAUCAAAUGAGUAUAUAUCCAAUGGCCAACAGUUGAAACGAGUGAGAGAAGAAUGCUUACAGGAAUUUGAGAUUGGAAAGGUUCGAGAGUGUAGCAGGGAUAGACCCAGUUAGAUUAUUGUGGUAAAGGUCCAAGCUCACCAGGCUUUUUAGGUUUCCAAGCUCCUUUGGUACAGGACCCACCAGCUUAUUCAUGUACAGUUCCAGAUACUGAAGACGCUCAAGUUUCCCCAGCUCAGGUACUAGAUUGCCAGACAGCUUUGCAUUCCCAAGGUCUAGACGGGUAACGCGGUUAUCGUUGUCACAGGUGACGUGAAACCAAGUACAUGGAUCUACCAAGGUCGGAUCCCAGCUUUGCAGAACUAGUCCUGGAUCCUUCACUGCUCUUCUCAAUGCAUACAGAGCAUCCCCUUCUAUGUUUGCAUUUGUAGGCGCUACAAUGAUUGAUAGAAGAAGAAGAAGAAGAAGUUGAAACAUAGCACAACUCGCCAUUGUAGAACUUCAAAAGAUGUUUUUGAAGGCCUUGAUCGAACAGUCAAGAUGCUUAUGGUCUUUUUAUAUCUUGGAGUUCGUUUAAAGAACAGAAGCAAUA
RNAcentral lists this unclassified non-coding RNA (1499 nucleotides) under Hevea brasiliensis (rubber tree). The record is from RNAcentral. Lineage: Eukaryota; Viridiplantae; Streptophyta; Magnoliopsida; Malpighiales; Euphorbiaceae.